RNAcentral lists this unclassified non-coding RNA (279 nucleotides) under fungal sp. RNAcentral describes it as "partial internal transcribed spacer region". The record is from RNAcentral. Lineage: Eukaryota; Fungi.
AAGUCGUAACAAAGUCAAUGCAAAAGCGACCUGGUUUCUUUGAAGCAGAAAGUGCGAUGGCGUGAGCCAGAGAACGGACCGAGAGGUAGUUCGAAGGUGCCUUCUGUCGCGCACUGUGGAAAGGAAGACGCUUUACGAAUCACUGUCCAACACGGCCAGUGACCGGGUUCCUGGUCCUAGACCCCAUAUUCACCACCACAGUCGCAGACGAGGUAGGGAUACGUCCCUACCACCAAAUAAAUACUUGAACAACUGUUAACAAUGGAUAUCUUGGUUCUC